Molecule: ribosomal RNA, 465 nt
Filed under: uncultured bacterium
Lineage: Bacteria
Description: partial 16S ribosomal RNA
Rfam family: Bacterial small subunit ribosomal RNA
Source: RNAcentral
CCUACGGGCGGCAGCAGUGGGGAAUAUUGCGCAAUGGGCGAAAGCCUGACGCAGCGACGCCGCGUGAGGGAUGAAGGUCUUCGGAUCGUAAACCUCUGUCAGCAGGGAAGAACGGUCCCUGUGCUAAUCAGCAGUGAAUUGACGGUACCUGCAAAGGCAGCACCGGCUAACUCCGUGCCAGCAGCCGCGGUAAUACGGAGGGUGCGAGCGUUAAUCGGAAUUACUGGGCGUAAAGCGCGCGUAGGCGGUAUGUCAAGUCAAGGGUGAAAGCCCCGCGCUCAACGUGGGAACUGCCUUUGAAACUGGCAGACUGGAGUGUGUGAGAGGAUAGUAGAAUUCCAGGUGUAGGGGUGAAAUGCGUAGAUAUCAGGAGGAACAUCGGUAGCGAAGGCGGCUAUCUGGCACGAAACUGACGCUGAGGAGCGAAAGCGUGGGUAGCAAACAGGAUUAGAUACCCCUGUAGUC